AUUUAUAUAGUUUAACUUAAAACGAUUCAUUUUCAAUGAAUAUAUGAUAUAAUUAUCUUUAAAUA
This 65-nucleotide transfer RNA is filed under the name Hygia sp. Its description in RNAcentral is "tRNA-Glu". It matches the Rfam family "tRNA". Rfam says of the family: Transfer RNA (tRNA) molecules are approximately 80 nucleotides in length. Their secondary structure includes four short double-helical elements and three loops (D, anti-codon, and T loops). Lineage: Eukaryota; Metazoa; Arthropoda; Insecta; Hemiptera; Coreidae. The record is from RNAcentral.